AGCAGGAUGCCUGAAUAAAGGAUUACUUUGAUGUAGUAAAAUAAGUGUAAAAUCACUCAUGCUA
Molecule: transfer RNA, 64 nt
Filed under: Pyrops spinolae
Lineage: Eukaryota; Metazoa; Arthropoda; Insecta; Hemiptera; Fulgoridae
Description: tRNA-Ile
Source: RNAcentral